GAUGAAGAACGCAGCGAAAUGCGAUACGUAAUGUGAAUUGCAAAUUCAGUGAAUCAUCGAGUCUUUGAACGCACAUUGCGCCCCCUGGUAUUCCGGGGGGCAUGCCUGUCCGAGCGUCAUUGCUGCCCUCAAGCACGGCUUGUGUGUUGGGCCCCGUCCUCCGAUCCCGGGGGACGGGCCCGAAAGGCAGCGGCGGCACCGCGUCCGGUCCUCGAGCGUAUGGGGCUUUGUUACCCGCUCUGUAGGCCCGGCCGGCGCUUGCCGAUCAACCCAAAUUUUUAUCCAGGUUGACCUCGGAUCAGGUAGGGAUACCCGCUGAACUUAAGCAUAUCAAUAAGCGGAGGA
Molecule: unclassified non-coding RNA, 345 nt
Filed under: soil metagenome
Description: partial contains 5.8S ribosomal RNA, internal transcribed spacer 2, and large subunit ribosomal RNA
Rfam family: 5.8S ribosomal RNA (bases 1-119)
Source: RNAcentral